GAUAAACGCUGGCGGCGUGCCUAACACAUGCAAGUCGAUCGCCCUUACGCAAGUAAGGGAGUGGCGGACGGGUGAGGAACACGUGGGUGAUCUGCCUUGAGGUGAGGAAUACCGGCGAGAAAUCGCCGACAAUACCGCAUACGUUCGCAAGAACAAAGUCGCAAGACGCCUUGAGAUGAGCCUGCGUCCGAUUAGCUAGUUGGUGGGGUAAAAGCCUACCAAGGCAGCGAUCGGUAGCUGGUCUGAGAGGACGAUCAGCCACACUGGGAUUGAGAACGGCCCA
This 283-nucleotide ribosomal RNA is filed under the name uncultured bacterium. RNAcentral describes it as "partial 16S ribosomal RNA". It matches the Rfam family "Bacterial small subunit ribosomal RNA", at positions 28 to 333 of the family's 1533-position model. The record is from RNAcentral.